This 229-nucleotide ribosomal RNA is filed under the name uncultured archaeon. RNAcentral describes it as "partial 16S ribosomal RNA". It matches the Rfam family "Archaeal small subunit ribosomal RNA", at positions 23 to 246 of the family's 1478-position model. The record is from RNAcentral.
GCCACUGCUAUUGGGGUUCGGCUAAGCCAUGCGAGUGGAGGGCGUCCCGCAAGGGAUGGCCCCGCAGACGGCUCAGUAACACGUCGUCAACCCACCUUAGGGUGGGGGACAACCCCGGGAAACUGAGGAUAAUCCCCCAUAGGCGGGGGAGGCUGGAAUGCGCCCCCGCUGAAAGCUCAGGCGCCCUAGGACGGGACGGCGGCCUAAUCAGGUAGUUGGUGGUGUGACG